UCUUAGGGUGUUAAAGCCCCGAGAAGCCGCAGUGAAUAGGCCCAGGCGACUGUUUAGCAAAAACACAGGUCUCUGCGAAGCCGUAAGGCGAAGUAUAGGGGCUGACGCCUGCCCGGUGCUGGAAGGUUAAGAGGAGCGCUUAGCGUAAGCGAAGGUGCGAAUUGAAGCCCCAGUAAACGGCGGCCGUAACUAUAACGGUCCUAAGGUAGCGAAAUUCCUUGUCGGGUAAGUUCCGACCCGCACGAAAGGCGCAACGAUCUGGGCACUGUCUCAACGAGAGACUCGGUGAAAUUAUAGUACCUGUGAAGAUGCAGGUUACCCGCGACAGGACGGAAAGACCCCGUGGAGCUUUACUGCAGCCUGAUAUUGAAUGUUGGUACAGCUUGUACAGGAUAGGUAGGAGCCUUGGAAACCGGAGCGCUAGCUUCGGUGGAGGCAUCGGUGGGAUACUACCCUGGCUGUAUUGACCUUCUAACCCGCUGCCCUUAUCGGGCAGGGAGACAGUGUCAGGUGGGCAGUUUGACUGGGGCGGUCGCCUCCUAAAAUGUAACGGAGGCGCCCAAAGGUUCCCUCAGAAUGGUUGGAAAUCAUUCGCAGAGUGUAAAGGC
This 608-nucleotide ribosomal RNA is filed under the name Bacillus pumilus. Its description in RNAcentral is "partial 23S ribosomal RNA". It matches the Rfam family "Bacterial large subunit ribosomal RNA", at positions 1753 to 2358 of the family's 2925-position model. Lineage: Bacteria; Bacillati; Bacillota; Bacilli; Caryophanales; Bacillaceae. The record is from RNAcentral.